GCGCGCGUGGUGGAAUUGGUAGACACGCUACUCUCAGAAGGUAGUGCCCGUUCGGGUGUGUGAGUUCAAAUCUCGUCGUGCGCACAA
RNAcentral lists this transfer RNA (87 nucleotides) under Indolivaga capnocytophagoides. RNAcentral describes it as "Dysgonomonas capnocytophagoides tRNA-Leu". It matches the Rfam family "tRNA". Rfam says of the family: Transfer RNA (tRNA) molecules are approximately 80 nucleotides in length. Lineage: Bacteria; Pseudomonadati; Bacteroidota; Bacteroidia; Bacteroidales; Dysgonomonadaceae. The record is from RNAcentral.